AGUGAACGCUGGCGGUAGGCCUAACACAUGCAAGUCGAACGGCAGCACAGUAAGAGCUUGCUCUUACGGGUGGCGAGUGGCGGACGGGUGAGGAAUACAUCGGAAUCUACUUUUUCGUGGGGGAUAACGUAGGGAAACUUACGCUAAUACCGCAUACGACCUACGGGCGAAAGCAGGGGAUCUUCGGACCUUGCGCGAUUGAAUGAGCCGAUGUCGGAUUAGCUAGUUGGCGGGGUAAAGGCCCACCAAGGCGACGAUCCGUAGCUGGUCUGAGAGGAUGAUCAGCCACACUGGAACUGAGACACGGUCCAGGCUCCUACGGGAGGCAGCAGUGGGGAAUAUUGGACAAAGGGCGCAAGCCUGAUCCAGCCAUACCGCGUGGGUGAAGAAGGCCUUCGGGUUGUAAAGCCCUUUUGUUGGGAAAGAAAAGCAGCAGGUUAAUACCCCGCUGUUCUGACGGUACCCAAAGAAUAAGCACCGGCUAACUUCGUG
Molecule: ribosomal RNA, 492 nt
Filed under: uncultured bacterium
Lineage: Bacteria
Description: partial 16S ribosomal RNA
Rfam family: Bacterial small subunit ribosomal RNA
Source: RNAcentral